CAUUAAAUGUUAAUGAGAAGAGUAGCUAAGUCAGAUCAGUAGAGAGCAUUCGGUUGGUGCAAGAAUGUGAUUUGGACUAAGUGAAGAUGAGCUCAGAAUAUCGGGAUGGGUUCACGCUACAUCCCCGCUUGGCAACCGUUAUCUUGCGCCUCUUUUCCCUCAUGGGAGAAGACUGAGGCGGUCCGUAAAAGACCGUAAACAAAGGUGGUACCACGGUUGCAUCGUCAUCGUCCUUAUG
Molecule: non-coding RNA, 238 nt
Filed under: Paucilactobacillus vaccinostercus
Lineage: Bacteria; Bacillati; Bacillota; Bacilli; Lactobacillales; Lactobacillaceae
Description: Lactobacillus vaccinostercus T-box sequence
Rfam family: T-box leader
About the family: Uncharged tRNA acts as the effector for transcription antitermination of genes in the T-box leader family.
Source: RNAcentral